GAAAUGGCGAUAGUUUCGUCACCUGGCAAAAUGUCAAUUUGGACAUUGCAAAGACAGCAGGGGACCCUGACCAUGGAGGAUGGCGUGCAGGCUUUACUCGCCCCUUCCUCGCCACGGCGACACGGUGCCCCCUACCACCCAAACAGGAAGCAGAGGCUAAGGUGAUCGGCAAGCUGUUCGCAGGGGUUGCUCAAACCGCUACCAACACGUACAACAUCACUGCUACUGGCUUCUCAGAGCUGGCUGUUCCUCCGCGAGCUCGUCGGAGAUGGUGGAGGUGAGUUGGCCAGGCUGGUUCACUUUGGUAGCGUGCCCGCUCCUCUCCUGUCUGAUUCUCAGUCAGGUGGGGGAGCAGCUCGCCCGCCGCCAAUCAACAUGCUGGCAUCCAUGAAGAGCUUUUAACAUGGAAGCUGUGCGGUCACAAAUCCAUGACACACCCACCGCCACGGUGCUUCCAAUCAAUUCAAAAAGACUGCAGGCUCUUAUUGGCCCGAACAGGCUGCUAACUGGGCAUGCAAGUACUGGAGAGCAAAAUGAAGAAGGGAUUUUAUUCCCCUUCUUUUGUCAUUCCAAAGAAUGGGGGUGUGGGAAUGCGCCCUAUCCUGUAUCUGAGAGCUCUCAAUCGAAUCAUAGUACCCAGUACGGCACAGACACCAGCUGGUAACUAUUAUGCCCUGCGUAAGGAGCAGGCUUGCUGGAACUGCCCGUUGCGCCUGAGGGAGGGUUUUCCAGUGGGCACGGUGACCCCAUCACGUUCAAUCUCUGUCGGGCUGGGGAGGCAUGUUCAGAUCGUACAGCAUCAAAGGUCGGUGGAGCAGCAACGACCACCGCCACAUGAACUUGUUGGAGAUGGAGGCGGUGCUACGGGUGCUGAAACACCACCAGAGGGUGGUGGCGUGUAUCAACCUUUCAGGGCAGCGGGCAGUCACGAACGCUUCUGUUACAACCCCCGGCGCCCCCUGCAGGCAAAAGUGGGGAUGUCGAGCGUCGUUGAUUGACUGAUUACCCACACCUGGGGAGGUACAAAGGAUCAGUGGACACCUGUCGGUCUCUCGAGCUGUUUCUCAGUAUACAGCCGUCAAACCCCUUAUUGUGUGUGAUAUUUGUAUGGGCUAAAUAAACACGCGUCAUUUUGUAAGAAAACCGUUUGUUGUAUGCCUCCAUAGUUUAUGUUUGCGGUCACGAGCCGGCCGUGACAGCUUCACUGCCUGGC
Long non-coding RNA from Clupea harengus (Atlantic herring), 1213 nucleotides. The record is from Ensembl. Lineage: Eukaryota; Metazoa; Chordata; Actinopteri; Clupeiformes; Clupeidae.